GGCGGCGUGCCUAACACAUGCAAGUCGCACGAGAAAGGGACUUCGGUCUUGAGUAAAGUGGCGCACGGGUGAGUAACACGUGACUAAUCUACCCUCGAGUGGGGAAUAACUGAGAGAAAUCUUAGCUAAUACCACAUAACACUUACGAGUCAAAGCAGCAAUGCGCUUGGGGAGGAGGUCGCGGCCGAUUAGCUAGUUGGCGGGGUAAUGGCCCACCAAGGCGAUGAUCGGUAUCCGGCCUGAGAGGGCGCACGGACACACUGGAACUGAAACACGGUCCAGACUCCUACGGGAGGCAGCAGUGGGGAAUUUUGCGCAAUGGGGGAAACCCUGACGCAGCAACGCCGCGUGGAGGAUGAAGUAUCUUGGUACGUAAACUCCUUUCGAUGGGGAAGAUAAUGACGGUACCCAUAGAAGAAGCCCCGGCUAACUUCGUGCCAGCAGCCGCGGUAAUACGAAGGGGGCAAGCGUUGUUCGGAAUUAUUGGGCGUAAAGGGUGCGUAGGCGGUUUGACAAGUCAUCUGUGAAAUCUAUGGGCUCAACCCAUA
This 548-nucleotide ribosomal RNA is filed under the name uncultured Acidobacteriota bacterium. RNAcentral's name for it is "bacterial SSU rRNA". It matches the Rfam family "Bacterial small subunit ribosomal RNA", at positions 38 to 618 of the family's 1533-position model. Lineage: Bacteria; Pseudomonadati; Acidobacteriota. The record is from RNAcentral.